GUGGGGAAUAUUCCGCAAUGGACGAAAGUCUGACGGAGCAACGCCGCGUGAGUGAUGAAGGUUUUCGGACUGUAAAGCUCUGUUGUUUAGGACGAAAGUGCCUGUUGCAAAUAGUUACAGGUAUUGACGGUACUGAACGAGGAAGCCACGGCUAACUACGUGCCAGCAGCCGCGGUAAUACGUAGGUGGCAAGCGUUGUCCGGAAUUAUUGGGCGUAAAGAGCAUGUAGGCGGGAAUCUAAGUCUGUUGUGAAAAUGCGGGGCUCAACCCCGUAUUGCGAUGGAAACUGGGUUUCUUGAGUGCAGGAGAGGAAAGGGGAAUUCCCAGUGUAGCGGUGAAAUGCGUAGAUAUUGGGAGGAACACCAGUGGCGAAGGCGCCUUUCUGGACUGUGUCUGACGCUGAGAUGCGAAAGCCGGGGUAGCGAACGGGAUUAGAUACCCGGGUAGUCC
This 450-nucleotide ribosomal RNA is filed under the name uncultured bacterium. RNAcentral's name for it is "partial 16S ribosomal RNA". It matches the Rfam family "Bacterial small subunit ribosomal RNA", at positions 354 to 796 of the family's 1533-position model. The record is from RNAcentral.